GUCGUUUUCUGUGUUGCUCUGGCAUGUGUCAUCGGCAUUGCUGUUUGCUGCUGUCUUCCAUGUAUUAUUGCAAUCUUGUAUGCUAUUGCAGACCAGGAAGGAGCAUCUAAGGAAGACAUCGAUCAGCUCUCAAAAUUCAAAUUCCGCAAAACUGUUAAUAGUGAGAAACUUGUUGGCGAGGCACAAGGACCUCUGGGUGGGAUAAUGACUGAAUGUGGUACAGAUUCACCAGUUGAACAUGUUCUUUCAGAGGAGGAUGCGGAAUGUUGCAUCUGCCUCUCUGCUUAUGAUGAUGGAGUUGAGCUAAGGGAACUUCCUUGUGGUCACCACUUCCACUGUCCCUGUGUAGAUAAGUGGCUGUACAUUAAUGCUACCUGCCCUCUCUGCAAGUACAAUAUCUUGAAGAGUAGCAGCCGAG
RNAcentral lists this unclassified non-coding RNA (418 nucleotides) under Hevea brasiliensis (rubber tree). Lineage: Eukaryota; Viridiplantae; Streptophyta; Magnoliopsida; Malpighiales; Euphorbiaceae. The record is from RNAcentral.